This 253-nucleotide ribosomal RNA is filed under the name uncultured bacterium. Its description in RNAcentral is "partial 16S ribosomal RNA". It matches the Rfam family "Bacterial small subunit ribosomal RNA", at positions 9 to 257 of the family's 1533-position model. The record is from RNAcentral.
GAGUUUGAUCGUGGCUCAGGACGAACGCUGGCGGCGUGCCUAACACAUGCAAGUCGAACGGACGAGAAGGUGCUUGCACCUUCAAGUUAGUGGCGGACGGGUGAGUAACGCGUGAGCAACCUGCCUCAAAGAGGGGGAUAACGUCUGGAAACGGACGCUAAUACCGCAUGACGUAUCCGGUAGGCAUCUAUUGAAUACCAAAGGAGCAAUCCGCUUUGAGAUGGGCUCGCGUCUGAUUAGCUAGUUGGUGGGU